GAUGAACGCUGGCGGCGUGCCUAGUACAUGUAAGUCGAGCGAACGGACGAGAAGCUUGCUUCCCUGAUGUUAGCGGCGGACGGGUGAGUAACACGUGGAUAACCUACCUAUAAGACUGGGAUAACUUCGGGAAACCGUAGCUAAUACCGGAUAAUAUUUUGAACCGCAUGGUUCAAAAGUGAAAGACGGUCUUGCUGUCACUUAUAGAUGGAUCCGCGCUGCAUUAGCUAGUUGGUAAGGUAACGGCUUACCAAGGCAACGAUGCAUAGCCGACCUGAGAGGGUGCUCGGCCACACUGGAACUGAGACACGGUCCAGACUCCUACGGGAGGCAGCAGUAGGGAAUCUUCCGCAAUGGGCGAAAGCCUGACGGAGCAACGCCGCGUGAGUGAUGAAGGUCUUCGGAUCGUAAAACUCUGUUAUUAGGGAAGAACAUAUGUGUAAGUAACUGUGCACAUCUUGACGGUACCUAAUCAGAAAGCCACGGCUAACUA
This 493-nucleotide ribosomal RNA is filed under the name uncultured bacterium. Its description in RNAcentral is "partial 16S ribosomal RNA". It matches the Rfam family "Bacterial small subunit ribosomal RNA", at positions 28 to 503 of the family's 1533-position model. The record is from RNAcentral.